GUUUUUGUCCUACUCUUCACCCUGUUUGCGCUAACAGCCAUCAUAGUCUUCACUCCCAUAGUCAUACUCUCUCUGAGCUGGGCUGCAGUCUGCUUAUUUGAUGCCCUCUUGUGGCUCAGAUUAUUAGUAUGCUGUUUGCCAUGAAAAACAGGAGAUGCAUUGAGAUUCCCCCUGUAGUCACAUCUGAAUAGUGACCCUUCCUAACCUGGAACUCCAAAGACCAUGGAAACGUGUUCUUGUUGAACAUAACUCUGCCUUGUCUUGGAACAAUAUAAGGGUUUCUCAGUGCCUUACAACUGUGAUACUAAAACUAGCUUAUUUAGUUAUUCUGAAGGUUUUUUCCUAAAAUUAAAUGUUAUCUCUCAGACAAGAUGUAUGUCCUGUUUCUUAAAAAAUGUAGGGAAUCCAUAGUAAAGAG
Neopsephotus bourkii (Bourke's parrot) is the source of this 418-nucleotide long non-coding RNA. RefSeq lists it as uncharacterized. Lineage: Eukaryota; Metazoa; Chordata; Aves; Psittaciformes; Psittacidae. The transcript is spliced from 3 exons. The record is from RefSeq and is a predicted model, not a curated record.